This 165-nucleotide ribosomal RNA is filed under the name Sporidesmium australiense. Its description in RNAcentral is "partial large subunit ribosomal RNA". It matches the Rfam family "Eukaryotic large subunit ribosomal RNA", at positions 99 to 261 of the family's 3401-position model. Lineage: Eukaryota; Fungi; Ascomycota; Sordariomycetes; Sporidesmiaceae. The record is from RNAcentral.
CGGCAACAGCUCAAAUUUGAAAUCUGGCUCCUUCGGGGUCCGAGUUGUAAUUUGCAGAGGGUGCUUUGGCGUCGGCCGUGGUCUAAGUUCCUUGGAACAGGACGUCACAGAGGGUGAGAAUCCCGUACGUGGCCGCCGGCCUUCGCCGUGUAAAGCCCCUUCGAC